This 253-nucleotide ribosomal RNA is filed under the name uncultured bacterium. RNAcentral describes it as "partial 16S ribosomal RNA". It matches the Rfam family "Bacterial small subunit ribosomal RNA", at positions 524 to 776 of the family's 1533-position model. The record is from RNAcentral.
GACGAAGGGGGCUAGCGUUGUUCGGAAUUACUGGGCGUAAAGCGCGUGUAGGCGGUUGUUCAAGUCGGGUGUGAAAGCCUUGAGCUCAACUCAAGAAAUGCACUCGAUACUGGAUGACUAGAGGACCGGAGAGGAUAGUGGAAUUCCCAGUGUAGUGGUGAAAUACGUAGGGAUUGGGAAGAACACCAGUGGCGAAGGCGGCUAUCUGGACGGUUUCUGACGCUAAGACGCGAAAGCGUGGGGAGCAAACAGG